AUGCAUUUGGAACCUUACAGAAUAUUGCCAAGUUUGCAUUCAUUUCUUCACCCAUUUUCUGAAAGACUACGUGAUGUUGCACCACUAGCUCAGAAAAAGAAGCACUCCAAACACACCUUAGGGGUUCUGGGUCACCUGGACCUUCUUAUGAUCCUGCUAGGUGGAAUAAUUUAUCCUGUCCUGAGCUUGACAUAUUUGUAGCACCUACUGAGAAGAUGCCAAUCAAUUAUGGAGAACAAAUGAGUCAGGGAAAAAGCAAGGGCUUCGUAUUACAAGAAAAGGAUCCUUUUUGUCCAUCUCUAAUCACUGUCUCAGCCACAGCAGUUUAAAAGGAGGAUAGAGGACAGAUGCUUCUAACAUUCUCCAAGUUUUUGAGAACUUUGUAUAGAACUCAAAAAAUGAAUAUCAACAGCACUAUCUCUUAGAGAAGUUAUGAUCUUUAGUGUCUCUCUCAGCUUUCCAUAAGCCUGCUUAUACACAUUCUCAAGGAGUUAUACUCGUGUGCAAUUAAAAUGAAAUACUAAUUUAUAUUAAAAAAAAAAAAAGACUGUGCUUGCAGAAUAUAACUCCAUUCUAAUGAAUUUCAUAAUACAUUUAUUCAGUGGAGAAAAGACUUUUUUUAGCCAGCAAAAUCAAUUUUCUGAUCUCCAACUGGACAUUUUAUCCUCUACUCUUCUGAUCUUCUGGUGGCAUCAUGAAUUUCACAGACAGCUUUGUUAAUCAGCAGAGUGCUUCAGAAGAGAGUUUCCUCAGCUAAAUGUAGUUACUAUUUCUCUUUAAACAUCCAUGUUUUAAGUUCCUGAAUUAUAACUUUGAACCCAACAUUCCUACAGUAGUGUUGUACUUACAGUAUGCAAGAGGCUAAGGUAGAGUUAAUUAGUUCAGAGGAUACUACGAGUGGUUCAGACUAUAAUUUAUGGGGACUAUAUUGGGGUUUUUUUAUAAAAGAUAUAUAUACAUUAUUAAUUUUGUACCUCAGUAUUCCUAUGCCUUUGCUGGCACUUUCACCAAGUUUUUUUUUCUGAAAUUUCAGAUUGUGUUAUGGCAGAUUAAGACAUCUAAAUUAUAUUCCACGUGUCAGUGGUCUUCACAAUAGGAAGUACUCUGAAAUACGUGUUUCCAUUUGCUGCCAACUUUAACUUUUUUGUGUUUGUUUUAUUUUUAUUUGUUAGUUUGUUUUAUUUCUCUGUUUUACUGUUGAAUUCUGGUAUUUAUUCUGGUCUGCUUGAUAUAAGCAUUGACUUUAAACUAUUCUAAGAGAAAUUGUUCAAUUGAGAAGAAGGGAAAAAUGUUCCUGCUUGAGAGCAUCAUGAUAAAAUGAUUACACAUGCUCACAUAAAAUGAAUAUUUAUGUUAUUCUGUCUCUGAUAAGUUCAGUACUUUUGUAACUGUCACAUAGGUUAAGACAGAAAUCUUGUUAAUUGUCUAGAGAACAAAAGUAAUCUCACAUAUUCUGGAAGCCUUCAGUGAUAGCUGUGUCACACAGCAGAAUAAUCUUAUGUGACAUUGAUUAAGGUGUACAGUGACUCUUUAGCUAAACUAGAUACAUGUUUUGAGUUAAAGUCUUAACAAUCAAUGAUGAAAACAUGCCAACACUUCAAAAGAUUGUUCCAUCUUCAACUACUUUGUAUUUCCUUAGUUUUCUCUAUUGUGAAUAAAAAUUAAGGAAUUAAGUUUUAUCUGAAAAAA
RNAcentral lists this long non-coding RNA (1689 nucleotides) under Junco hyemalis (dark-eyed junco). RNAcentral describes it as "lncRNA (ENSJHYG00000002779.1)". The record is from RNAcentral. Lineage: Eukaryota; Metazoa; Chordata; Aves; Passeriformes; Passerellidae.